GCCGCGGCGAGGCGCGAGGUCAAGCCGGCGUCCGUAAGAAUCACGAUGCAGAGAACAGACUGGGGUAUGGGAAGCUGCGGCUAGCAGACCUAAGCUUCUAUGUAUGUCGACGGGACGGGCGGACAAUACAGCCCUACUGCUCAGCAGAGACGGCGACAUUCCUACUGCUCAGCAGAGACGGCGACAUUCAGUGUUCUGUGGAAGCCAUGAUGGAAAAGCGUAAAAAGAGAACAUCUGCUUGCGGGUGACGGAGUCAGUUUGCUGCAAGGCAGUAACGAGCGCGACACUGUAAAUCAGCUCUACUUCAACGAAGAAACAGAGAUUCGUUUUGUCAUAAAAUAUGGGUUUUAUUUCAUCACACUGA
Odocoileus virginianus texanus is the source of this 364-nucleotide long non-coding RNA. RefSeq lists it as uncharacterized. The record is from RefSeq and is a predicted model, not a curated record. Lineage: Eukaryota; Metazoa; Chordata; Mammalia; Artiodactyla; Cervidae.